Molecule: ribosomal RNA, 890 nt
Filed under: Weissella confusa
Lineage: Bacteria; Bacillati; Bacillota; Bacilli; Lactobacillales; Lactobacillaceae
Description: bacterial SSU rRNA
Rfam family: Bacterial small subunit ribosomal RNA
Source: RNAcentral
GAUGAACGCUGGCGGCGUGCUUAAUACAUGCAAGUCGAACGCUUUGUGGUUCAACUGAUUUGAAGAGCUUGCUCAGAUAUGACGAUGGACAUUGCAAAGAGUGGCGAACGGGUGAGUAACACGUGGGAAACCUACCUCUUAGCAGGGGAUAACAUUUGGAAACAGAUGCUAAUACCGUAUAACAAUGACAACCGCAUGGUUGUUAUUUAAAAGAUGGUUCUGCUAUCACUAAGAGAUGGUCCCGCGGUGCAUUAGCUAGUUGGUAAGGUAAUGGCUUACCAAGGCGAUGAUGCAUAGCCGAGUUGAGAGACUGAUCGGCCACAAUGGGACUGAGACACGGCCCAUACUCCUACGGGAGGCAGCAGUAGGGAAUCUUCCACAAUGGGCGAAAGCCUGAUGGAGCAACGCCGCGUGUGUGAUGAAGGGUUUCGGCUCGUAAAACACUGUUGUAAGAGAAGAAUGACAUUGAGAGUAACUGUUCAAUGUGUGACGGUAUCUUACCAGAAAGGAACGGCUAAAUACGUGCCAGCAGCCGCGGUAAUACGUAUGUUCCAAGCGUUAUCCGGAUUUAUUGGGCGUAAAGCGAGCGCAGACGGUUAUUUAAGUCUGAAGUGAAAGCCCUCAGCUCAACUGAGGAAUUGCUUUGGAAACUGGAUGACUUGAGUGCAGUAGAGGAAAGUGGAACUCCAUGUGUAGCGGUGAAAUGCGUAGAUAUAUGGAAGAACACCAGUGGCGAAGGCGGCUUUCUGGACUGUAACUGACGUUGAGGCUCGAAAGUGUGGGUAGCAAACAGGAUUAGAUACCCUGGUAGUCCACACCGUAAACGAUGAGUGCUAGGUGUUUGAGGGUUUCCGCCCUUAAGUGCCGCAGCUAACGCAUAAGCACUCCGC